This 293-nucleotide ribosomal RNA is filed under the name uncultured bacterium. RNAcentral describes it as "partial 16S ribosomal RNA". It matches the Rfam family "Bacterial small subunit ribosomal RNA", at positions 505 to 796 of the family's 1533-position model. The record is from RNAcentral.
GUGCCAGCAGCCGCGGUAAGACGAACCGUGCGAACGUUAUUCGGAAUCACUGGGCUUAAAGCGCGUGUAGGCGGGCCGCCACGUCGGCUGCUGAAAUCCCCCGGCUCAACCGGGGAACGGGCACCGAUACGAGCGGCCUCGAGGGGGGUAGGGGGGUCUGGAACUUCCGGUGGAGCGGUGAAAUGCGUUGAGAUCGGAAGGAACGCCCGUGGCGAAAGCGAGGCCCUGGACCCUUUCUGACGCUGAGACGCGAAAGCCAGGGGAGCGAACGGGAUUAGAUACCCGCGUAGUCC